UACGGAGGGGGCUAGCGUUGUUCGGAAUUACUGGGCGUAAAGCGCACGUAGGCGGCUUUGUAAGUUAGAGGUGAAAGCCCGGGGCUCAACUCCGGAAUUGCCUUUAAAACUGCAUCGCUAGAAUUGUGGAGAGGUAAGUGGAAUUCCGAGUGUAGAGGUGAAAUUCGUAGAUAUUCGGAAGAACACCAGUGGCGAAGGCGACUUACUGGACACAUAUUGACGCUGAGGUGCGAAAGCGUGGGAAGCAAACAGG
RNAcentral lists this ribosomal RNA (253 nucleotides) under uncultured bacterium. RNAcentral's name for it is "partial 16S ribosomal RNA". It matches the Rfam family "Bacterial small subunit ribosomal RNA", at positions 524 to 776 of the family's 1533-position model. The record is from RNAcentral.